Molecule: long non-coding RNA, 633 nt
Organism: Tupaia belangeri chinensis (Chinese tree shrew)
Lineage: Eukaryota; Metazoa; Chordata; Mammalia; Scandentia; Tupaiidae
Exons: 6
Source: RefSeq, a predicted model, not a curated record
CAUUGGCUGCAACAGCCAGGUACAUCUGAAGGCACCUGGCAAACAAGUGCGCACACUGCCCCCACUGAUAUCCAUCCAGACCCCCAGUUCAGGAUCCACCCAGACCCCUAGACAGACUGCACCUUUGGCUGCAGCAGACUGGUACAUCUGAAGGCACCUGGUGAGCAAGGGGUCACACUGCCCUAACAGAUUCCCAUCGAGACCCCCAGUACAGGAUCCACACAUAAACCUAGGCAGACUGUCUUUGGCAGCAGCAGCCUAGUACAUCUCAAGGCACCUGGUGAGCAAGGGCUCACACUACCCCCACUGAUUCCCAUCCAGAAGCCCUGUCCAAGAGUCACUCAGACCCCUAUGCAGAAUGUGCCUUUGGCUGCAGCAGCCUGGUACAUCUGAAGGCACCUUGUGAACAGGAGGGCACAGUGCCCCCACUGAUUCUCAUCUAGACCUCCAGUCCAGGAUCCACACAGACCCCUACGCAGACUGUGCCUUUGGCUGCAGCAGACUGGUACAUCUGAAGGCACUUGGCGAUCAAGUGGGCACAAUUCCCCCACUGAUUCCUAUCCAUACCCCCAGACCAGGAUCUACCCAGACUCCUAAUCAGACUGCGCCUUUGGCUGCAGCAGCCUGGUACAU